RNAcentral lists this transfer RNA (63 nucleotides) under Pinnaxodes major. Its description in RNAcentral is "tRNA-Cys". The record is from RNAcentral. Lineage: Eukaryota; Metazoa; Arthropoda; Malacostraca; Decapoda; Pinnotheridae.
AAUCUUAUAGUAUAUAAAUAACGUUAAAUUGCAAAUUUAAAGAUGUGUAAAUCACUAGGAUUU